GACGAACGCUGGCGGCAGGCCUAACACAUGCAAGUCGAGCGAGACCUUCGGGUCUAGCGGCGGACGGGUUAGUAACGCGUGGGAACGUGCCCUUCUCUGCGGAAUAGCCACUGGAAACGGUGAGUAAUACCGCAUACGCCCUUCGGGGGAAAGAUUUAUCGGAGAAGGAUCGGCCCGCGUUAGGUUAGAUAGUUGGUGGGUAACGGCCUACCAAGUCUACGAUCUAUAGCUGGUUUUAGAGGAUGAUCAGCAACACUGGGACUGAGACACGGCCCAGACUCCUACGGGAGGCAGCAGUGGGGAAUCUUAGACAAUGGGCGCAAGCCUGAUCUAGCCAUGCCGCGUGUGUGAUGAAGGUCUUAGGAUCGUAAAGCACUUUCGCCAGGGAUGAUAAUGACAGUACCUGGUAAAGAAACCCCGGCUAACUCCGUG
Molecule: ribosomal RNA, 432 nt
Filed under: uncultured bacterium
Lineage: Bacteria
Description: bacterial SSU rRNA
Rfam family: Bacterial small subunit ribosomal RNA
Source: RNAcentral